GAUGAACGCUGGCGGCGUGCUUAACACAUGCAAGUCGAACGAUGAAGCCCAGCUUGCUGGGUGGAUUAGUGGCGAACGGGUGAGUAACACGUGAGUAACCUGCCCUUAACUCUGGGAUAAGCCUGGGAAACUGGGUCUAAUACCGGAUAGGAGCGUCCACCGCAUGGUGGGUGUUGGAAAGAUUUAUCGGUUUUGGAUGGACUCGCGGCCUAUCAGCUUGUUGGUGAGGUAAUGGCUCACCAAGGCGACGACGGGUAGCCGGCCUGAGAGGGUGACCGGCCACACUGGGACUGAGGCACGGCGCAGACUCCUACGGGAGGCAGCAGUGGGGAAUAUUGCGCAGUGGGCGCAAGCCUGAUGCAGCGACGCCGCGUGAGGGAUGACGGCCUUCGGGUUGUAAACCUCUUUCAGUAGGGAAGAAGCGAAAGUGACGGUACCUGCAGAAGAAGCACCGGCUAACUACGUG
Molecule: ribosomal RNA, 466 nt
Filed under: uncultured bacterium
Lineage: Bacteria
Description: partial 16S ribosomal RNA
Rfam family: Bacterial small subunit ribosomal RNA
Source: RNAcentral